Molecule: ribosomal RNA, 1485 nt
Filed under: Triticum aestivum (bread wheat)
Lineage: Eukaryota; Viridiplantae; Streptophyta; Magnoliopsida; Poales; Poaceae
Description: partial small subunit ribosomal RNA
Source: RNAcentral
AUGAGCCUCCACGUCGCCGCCGCGAUCCACUGCGGCCUCGGCCGGCACGCCGACGCCGUCCCCGUGCUCGAGCGCGCCGUCGCCGUCGUCACCCCGCCGGCCCCCGCGGCCGAGGGCGAGGAGGUGCCGCAGCCGGAGGAGGAGCAGGUGGUGGAUGAGCGCAAGGGGGAGGAGUGGGCGCUCGCCGCCUUCUCCGGCUGGAUGCAGCUCGGCGACACCCACGCCAUGCUCGGCCGCAUGGACGAGUCCAUCGCCUGCUACGGCAAGGGCUUCGAGAUCCAGAUGGCCGCGCUCGGCGACCGCGACCCCCGCGUCGCCGAGACCUGCAGGUAUCUGGCGGAAGCGCAUGUGCAAGCUCUGCAGUUCGAUGAGGCAGAGAAGCUGUGCCGCAAAGCCCUUGAGAUCCACCGGGAGCACAGCGCCCCCGCAUCCCUCGAGGAAGCCUCCGAUCGCCGUCUGAUGGCCCUUAUCCUGGAUGCCAAGGGUGACUAUGACGGCGCCCUGGAGCACCUUGUGCUGGCCUCCAUGACCAUGGUUGCCAAUGGACGCGAUGUCGAGGUUGCCACGAUCGAUGUCGCGAUAGGCAACACCUACCUGGCCCUUGCUCGUUUCGACGAGUCUGUCUUCUCCUACCAGAAGGCCUUGACUGUCCUCAAGUCUGCCCGUGGUGACGACCACCCUUCAGUGGCAUCUGUCUUCGUCCGCCUUGCUGAUCUCUAUCACCGCACAGGGAAGCUCCGUGAGUCCAAAUCCUACUGCGAGAAUGCUCUCCGUGUCUAUGCGAAGCCCGCGCCUGGUGCUGCCCCUGACGAGGUUGCUGGAGGCCUAAUGGAGAUUGCUGCCAUCUAUGAGGCGCUUGGAGAUCUUGAUGAGGCCUUAAAGCUUCUUCAGAGGGCACUGAAGUUGCUUGAGGACUCACCAGGGCAGUGGAGCACUGUUGCUGGGAUCGAAGCACAAAUGGGUGUGUUGUACUACAUGAUAGGGAGGUAUGCUGAUUCAAGGAACUCGUUCGAGAGCGCGGUUUCCAAAUUGAGGGCCAGCGGGGAAAGGAAGUCAGCCUUUUUCGGUGUUCUGCUGAACCAGAUGGGGCUAGCUUGCGUACAGCUGUUCAAGAUUGAUGAGGCUGCACAGCUGUUUGAAGAAGCACGGGCAGUUCUAGAGCAGGAGUGUGGUGCCUCUCAUCCUGAUACUCUUGGCGUGUACAGCAACCUUGCUGCGAUCUAUGAUGCCAUGGGAAGGGUGGAAGACGCGAUCGAGAUCCUGGAGCACGUGCUGAAGGUGCGGGAGGAGAAGCUGGGCACGGCGAACCCGGACGUGGAGGACGAGAAGAAGCGGCUGGCGGAGCUGCUGAAGGAGGCUGGGCGGUCCCGGAACCGGAAGCAGAAGUCGCUAGAGAACCUGUUUGGGUCCGGUGGUGCUGCGCGGGGCGCCAAGAAGGACGGUGCCGGGGGCAGGCGGUGGACCAACUUCGGGUUCAGGAGCUGA